This 240-nucleotide unclassified non-coding RNA is filed under the name plant metagenome. RNAcentral's name for it is "partial contains small subunit ribosomal RNA, internal transcribed spacer 1, and 5.8S ribosomal RNA". The stretch from base 1 to 52 matches the Rfam family "Eukaryotic small subunit ribosomal RNA", at positions 1780 to 1831 of the family's 1831-position model. The record is from RNAcentral.
GAGUAAAAGUCGUAACAAGGUUUCCGUAGGUGAACCUGCGGUAGGAUCAUUACAGAGUUCAUGCCCUCACGGGUAGAUCUCCCACCCUUGAAUAUUUAUACCUUAGUUGCUUUGGCAGGCCGUGGAAACACCAUGGGCUCCGGCUUAUGCGUGCCUGCCAGAGGAAACAAACUCUGUUUUUAGUGAUGUCUGAGUACUAUAUAAUAGUUAAAACUUUCAACAACGGAUCUCUUGGUUCUG